GGUCAUGAGCGCCAGCGUCAAGCCCCGGCUUGCUGGCCGGCAACCCUCCAACCGCGGUGGGGUGCCCCGGGUGAUGACCAGGUUGAGUAGCCCAACCGGCUACGCGGCAAGCGCGGGUC
Molecule: non-coding RNA, 119 nt
Filed under: Mycobacterium sp.
Lineage: Bacteria; Bacillati; Actinomycetota; Actinomycetes; Mycobacteriales; Mycobacteriaceae
Also listed under: 1 other name
Description: SAM-IV sequence
Rfam family: SAM (S-adenosyl methionine) riboswitch aptamer
About the family: SAM-IV is a mRNA element that regulates gene expression via direct sensing of S-adenosylmethionine (SAM or AdoMet).
Source: RNAcentral